ACUACAUCAGUGUUAUGUUAUUGUAUGACUUCAUCUUUUAUACAGUCGGGUUCGGGGUUUCGGGCAGCCAUAGCGAAUUUCGGCAAGAUUUUACCCCAGUGAAAAAGGCUUGUAAUCCACAGUGAUCAGCUAAGAUGUUGUUUCACUGGAUUAUUUAAUUGGGCAUAUAAUUGGCUAAUUCUGGAUCAGCUGAGAUGUUAUUUCACUGGAUUAUUUAAUGGAUAGACUUAUUGGGGCAUAUAUUUCGAUAUCUCUGUCCUAAACCUGGAAGAUAUGUAUUGUUCCUAACCAUCUAUAAUCCAUUCUCUAUGAAGUUCAGACUGUCUGCUCUUCCUUUGGAAAUACACAGUUAUAGUCAACCAACAUAGAAACACACAAACUUGAAGGAUUCUCUAGUGAGGGCUUAUGGAAAUGAUCUAUAUCUACUCUUAGAAUGGUGAAAGACUAUCAGAUCAUGCAAAGACUAACAGAAUAUCCUCUCUUGGAACACUGAAACAAGAAAAUCAAACAGGAGGUGGAUUUAAGAAGAACAGAGAUAAAUAUAAUUUCCAACUAAUUUAACCAGUACGAUCAUAGACUGUGGUUUACAGGAUGACAAAGAAAGGACCCAGGAUUGUAUCUUUUACUGUCAGACACUGACUAUGAAUAAAGUGUAAUCAUUUAUCAAACUGAGAUCUAGUCAAAUCAAGUAUUGAGAACAUGAUUUUCUGAAAGCAUGAAUUUAUUCUCACCAACUUCAAAGUAUCUAUAGCUGACUUUUAUUUUUACCAACUCAUAUUGAAGACAGUUGUUAUGUAUGAGAAGUAUGUAUACAUUUAAACCUUUUAUUUUUUCAUCUUAUUUCUAUAACCCCAUAGAAAUUACAUAGAUAUUCAGAUGCUAGAUUUGAUGUAAUUAUUACUUUCCUGGAAAUGUAAAUAUAUUUUAUUUGUGUAUAUGUGUGUAUUGUGGCCUAUAAUGAAAUUUAGAAAUUGAAAUAUGAUAAAGGUCCCUUAAUAUCCCACAUCAAGAUGUAGGUGCCCAAUAAUCUGUGAUGCAAUAAUAUCUUGAAUAUCAUUUAUCAUCUCAUACACUUCAUAUGCUUACUACACAUAUCAGGUUAUAGUAAUACACAUAGUUUUAUAGGAUAAUUUGUCAUGUUCAAAGCAUGAGAUUAUUGAGAUGACUACAUUUGAAAAUAAUUUGUAACAUACAAACUUCACAUCAUUAGUAAAAAAUGAAUAGGAGAUUUUCUAUAGAUUUUUGGAUCAUUUACUCCUGAGUAAAAGUUAGUUCCUGAGAUUACUGAUAUGAAUCAUUUAAUGCAAUAACUUCAAAAUUGUGUGAUAAUUUAUAGACUUUAUAAAAAUUAGGUGUAAAUUCUUAGGAAAGAAUUAAAAUAUUAAUCAAAUGUACAAUGUCCA
This is a long non-coding RNA of Saccostrea cuccullata (small rock oyster), 1403 nucleotides long. RefSeq lists it as uncharacterized. The transcript is spliced from 5 exons. NCBI's taxonomy places the organism in Eukaryota, Metazoa, Mollusca, Bivalvia, Ostreida, Ostreidae. The record is from RefSeq and is a predicted model, not a curated record.